Molecule: ribosomal RNA, 195 nt
Filed under: uncultured bacterium
Lineage: Bacteria
Description: partial 16S ribosomal RNA
Rfam family: Bacterial small subunit ribosomal RNA
Source: RNAcentral
AUUGCAGGCUGCAACUCGCCUGCAUGAAGUUGGAAUUGCUAGUAAUCGCGAAUCAGAAUGUCGCGGUGAAUACGUUCCCGGGCCUUGUACACACCGCCCGUCAAGCCAUGGAAGCCGGGGGUGCCUGAAGUGCGCUGCCGCAAGGAGCGCCCUAGGGUAAAACCGGUGACUGGGGCUAAGUCGUAACAAGGUAGC